Molecule: ribosomal RNA, 497 nt
Filed under: uncultured bacterium
Lineage: Bacteria
Description: partial 16S ribosomal RNA
Rfam family: Bacterial small subunit ribosomal RNA
Source: RNAcentral
GACGAACGCUGGCGGCGUGCCUAAUACAUGCAAGUAGAACGCUGAAGAGAGGAGCUUGCUCUUCUUGGAUGAGUUGCGAACGGGUGAGUAACGCGUAGGUAACCUGCCUUGUAGCGGGGGAUAACUAUUGGAAACGAUAGCUAAUACCGCAUAACAAUGGAUGACACAUGUCAUUUAUUUGAAAGGGGCAAUAGUUCCACUACAAGAUGGACCUGCGUUGUAUUAGCUAGUAGGUGAGGUAAUGGCUCACCUAGGCGACGAUACAUAGCCGACCUGAGAGGGUGGUCGGCCACACUGGGACUGGGACACGGCCCAGACUCCUACGGGAGGCAGCAGUAGGGAAUCUUCGGCAAUGGGGGCAACCCUGACCGAGCAACGCCGCGUGAGUGAAGAAGGUUUUCGGAUCGUAAAGCUCUGUUGUAAGUCAAGAACGGGUGUGAGAGUGGAAAGUUCACACUGUGACGGUAGCUUACCAGAAAGGGACGGCUAACUACGUG